RNAcentral lists this ribosomal RNA (495 nucleotides) under uncultured bacterium. Its description in RNAcentral is "partial 16S ribosomal RNA". It matches the Rfam family "Bacterial small subunit ribosomal RNA", at positions 28 to 507 of the family's 1533-position model. The record is from RNAcentral.
GACGAACGCUGGCGGCGUGCCUAAUACAUGCAAGUAGAACGCUGAAGGAGGAGCUUGCUUCUCUGGAUGAGUUGCGAACGGGUGAGUAACGCGUAGGUAACCUGCCUGGUAGCGGGGGAUAACUAUUGGAAACGAUAGCUAAUACCACAUAAGAGUAGAUGUUGCAUGACAUUUGCUUAAAAGGUGCAAUUGCAUCACUACCAGAUGGACCUGCGUUGUAUUAGCUAGUUGGUGGGGUAACGGCUCACCAAGGCGACGAUACAUAGCCGACCUGAGAGGGUGAUCGGCCACACUGGGACUGAGACACGGCCCAGACUCCUACGGGAGGCAGCAGUAGGGAAUCUUCGGCAAUGGACGGAAGUCUGACCGAGCAACGCCGCGUGAGUGAAGAAGGUUUUCGGAUCGUAAAGCUCUGUUGUAAGAGAAGAACGAGUGUGAGAGUGGAAAGUUCACACUGUGACGGUAUCUUACCAGAAAGGGACGGCUAACUACGUG